GAUGAACGCUGGCGGCGUGCCUAAUACAUGCAAGUCGAGCGAACAGACGAGGAGCUUGCUCCUCUGACGUUAGCGGCGGACGGGUGAGUAACACGUGGAUAACCUACCUAUAAGGCUGGGAUAACUUCGGGAAACCGGAGCUAAUACCGGAUAAUAUAUUGAACCGCAUGGUUCAAUAGUGAAAGACGGUUUUGCUGUCACUUAUAGAUGGAUCCGCGCCGCAUUAGCUAGUUGGUAAGGUAACGGCUUACCAAGGCGACGAUGCGUAGCCGACCUGAGAGGGUGAUCGGCCACACUGGAACUGAGACACGGUCCAGACUCCUACGGGAGGCAGCAGUAGGGUAUAUUGCGCAAUGGGCGAAAGCCUGACGGAGCAACGCCGCGUGAGUGAUGAAGGUCUUCGGAUCGUAAAACUCUGUUAUUAGGGAAGAACAACUGUGUAAGUAACUAUGCACGUCUUGACGGUACCUAAUCAGAAAGCCACGGCUAACUACGUG
Molecule: ribosomal RNA, 497 nt
Filed under: uncultured bacterium
Lineage: Bacteria
Description: partial 16S ribosomal RNA
Rfam family: Bacterial small subunit ribosomal RNA
Source: RNAcentral